Long non-coding RNA from Rhagoletis pomonella (apple maggot), 1055 nucleotides. RefSeq lists it as uncharacterized. The record is from RefSeq and is a predicted model, not a curated record. The transcript has 2 exons. Lineage: Eukaryota; Metazoa; Arthropoda; Insecta; Diptera; Tephritidae.
UACAUUAAGGUAACGAUAUAUAAAUUCAAAACUUUAAAGCCGUUUUUCUCGAGUUUAGCUUUUUGAGUUAUGACACUAUCGAAUUAAAUACAUAAGCGAUAUGUAGCGGUAGCCGAUCAGCAAUGAGCACUGUAUGUAGUAACUCUUUGCUGAUUAGCUCACUUGCUGCUCGCGUGUCUAUACGCUCUGCCUAACAAUGCUCCGCUUGCUCACUAUAAUCGCUUGCAUGUUCUCAAGCUGGUGGUGGCCUUAACGCCCGCCUUGCCUGCUGGUUGUUUGCGAAUAACGCUUUCGCUACUUUGGUCAUGAUUAGUCGUUCAUUUGUGGUCGUUCGCGAAUGUUGUGCUCCUAGCCGCCACCACUACCGCCAUCGUCGCUAUCAGUCUGGCCUUUUAGUUGGUGUCACCGCGUCGCGCCGUGUUUUGCAUUUUUUUCAUGUUUAUCGGCCUUCCACUGUUAAUCUCGUUUAACUGCGACGACGACUACGACGAAGACAACGAUCAACUUUGGAUUCAUUAUAGAAAAUUAAACGUAAAUUUAAUAUAAUAAUUAAAAAUAAAAUACAUCUAUGUAUGUUACGGGACAACCACGUUGGGAUAACGCAAAAUUAAAACACAAAAAAGGGCGAUUUGAAAAGAGCUAAUCCAUUCAAGGCUAAAGAAAAUAACAAAAAGAAAAUUUCAAAAUUUAAAAAUAUUUGCAACGCAGCAAGAUAAAGUUGGAGAAAAUUCACAAAAAAAAAAAAAAAAAAAUUACAAGCCAUCUAUAAUAAAUACUAGUAGGAAAAGUUAAUAGCACCGACAUAUGUAUUGUAUGUAGACGUAUGUACAUACAUAUAUACUACAUACGUAGAUACACGUACAUACAUGUGCAUAUAUUACCUAUAAAAGCUACAACCGCCUACGUUAGCGCCAUUAACAGCAAAGAGCAAGAAGCAAAUCGCGACAACUAAUAACCAAAUUUGAAACGUUAAUUACAGUAAUUGCAGCAAAAAUACAUAGAAAUUAAACAACAACAACAGACGUGGCAACAAUAUUUUAUAACAAACAAACAAA